This is a long non-coding RNA of Pygocentrus nattereri (red-bellied piranha), 268 nucleotides long. RefSeq lists it as uncharacterized. Lineage: Eukaryota; Metazoa; Chordata; Actinopteri; Characiformes; Serrasalmidae. The record is from RefSeq and is a predicted model, not a curated record. The transcript has 3 exons.
CUCAAACUAAGCUUGGGCCUUUUCCUGGACCAGAAAGUACUACAGCUCAUAUACAUGAAGGAUAUCACAUGUUUUUGGACCUGUUCCUGCUGAACUUGCCAUCACAGAAGUUACAGGACAAUACAGGGAAAUGCACACUAAGCAGUGGGCCAUCAAAUGCUCAACAGAGAGCAAAGCUUCAGCAUUGGAGGUUCCUCUGCCAUCAUCACGGCAUGCGUCUGUGUGGCUCUGCUGCUGAUUGGAGGAUCAGCACUGACCUGCUACAAAC